AGUUACGUUACGUAUUUGAGAAGAAAAUGGAGGAUGGAAGCAAAUAACUGAAAUGCCUUCAUCCGCAAUAUAAUAUAAUAUUAUCGAUAUCUAUACGUAUUUUAUAUAUUUAUUAAAAACAAAAUGUUCCUUCACGGCCAACAGAAAUCGAAACAGAAACUAACGCUUUGCAAAACGCUUUAUGCAAUAUCAUCAAAUCAAUCGAGACGGACAAGUACUUCAACGCAGCAAGUACUGAGAGAUGACAGUCUGUGGACCCUAGCAACCGGGCAAAUAUGGCGUUCGAAAUUUUGUUCGUAAACAGAGGCGUUCGAAACUCGAGGUUUGACUGAAUAAAAGAUCCACCAUCCACCAACUAAGACCAUUUCCAAUAAGAGCUGAAGGUGUUAAACUUUUGUUUAUAACAGACAAAGUGAAGCCAGUGAUAAGAAAUCAUACAAGAUGAAUUCCAUCAAAGGAGAAAGCAUAUUCCAUGAAAAUGAAGAAAAACAGAACAUUUAAUGAAGAUAUUUUAAGAUUAUUAUUUACAUCUUUUGUUGCAAAAUGCAUAGUAAUUGUGUCCAGAAAAAAACUGUAUAAAUUACAUUAAUUUGUGAUAGUAUUUAUGCCUGUUGUUAAUAUUUGUGAACACUGGUGUAAGCAGUU
Molecule: long non-coding RNA, 645 nt
Organism: Centruroides sculpturatus (bark scorpion)
Lineage: Eukaryota; Metazoa; Arthropoda; Arachnida; Scorpiones; Buthidae
Exons: 3
Source: RefSeq, a predicted model, not a curated record